This 253-nucleotide ribosomal RNA is filed under the name uncultured bacterium. RNAcentral's name for it is "partial 16S ribosomal RNA". It matches the Rfam family "Bacterial small subunit ribosomal RNA", at positions 524 to 776 of the family's 1533-position model. The record is from RNAcentral.
UACGGAGGGUGCAAGCGUUGUUCGGAAUCACUGGGCGUAAAGCGCGUGUAGGCGGCCUUCUAAGUCUGAUGUGAAAGUCCGGGGCUCACCCCCGGAAGUGCAUUGGAUACUGGGAGGCUGGAGUACCGGAGAGGAGGGUGGAAUUCCUGGUGUAGCGGUGAAAUGCGGAGAUAUCAGGAGGAACACCGGUGGCGAAGGCGGCCCUCUGGACGGAUACUGACGCUGAGACACGACAGCGUGGGGAGCAAUCAGC